Molecule: long non-coding RNA, 309 nt
Organism: Hibiscus syriacus
Lineage: Eukaryota; Viridiplantae; Streptophyta; Magnoliopsida; Malvales; Malvaceae
Exons: 3
Source: RefSeq, a predicted model, not a curated record
ACCCAUAUUAGUUUCUAAACAAUUGGUUGACGCUCUUUCUUAAAAUCUUUGUUUUUCUUUUUUACCUGGAGUUUAGAAUGUGUUUGAUGAAUUGCUUGGCUUAAUGAUUACUACGUCUGAUGUAUGUUUUGGAAGGUUUUUCGUAGAUGAGUGUUAGCUUUUAGAAAUGGUAAUUGGUUCAGAGAAGCAUUGAGUCAUUGAGUCUAACAUUUAUCGUUGUUGUUAAGUUAGUACUGCUGAUAAUUGGUACUUAGUUGUGUUGUCAUUCAUAAGGAUUGGAGUUCUGGGAUGAAUUUUGCGUUACAUUGG